UUAACUCAAAUUUGUAUGCAGUUAGAACAGCGCCCCUAGCGGCAAGCGCAGGCAAACUUUCCAACUCCAUACAAAUAUGAGUUA
This 84-nucleotide microRNA precursor is filed under the name Bombyx mori (domestic silkworm). RNAcentral describes it as "mir-2807 microRNA precursor family". It matches the Rfam family "mir-2807 microRNA precursor family". The record is from Rfam by way of RNAcentral. Lineage: Eukaryota; Metazoa; Arthropoda; Insecta; Lepidoptera; Bombycidae.